CCCAUCACUAAAAACGACGCCAGAAUUAUAAUAAUAUUAUUAAAAAUGAGUACGAGGUCUUGCGCGUACAAGGAUUGCGAAUAUUAUUAUGCCACGCACGACAACACUCAGUCUAAGGGAAGAGCCCUGUUCGCCUUUCCCAAACAACUUGAAAGGGCGCGAGUCUGGCACGAAAAUGGACAAGUGCACCCGAAGAUCCCUCAAACCCAGCUCUAUCUGUGCUCCAUUCACUUCGACCCCAAGUUCAUAUCCUCCUCCAAAAACCGAACGCUCCUUGUGGGCGAGGCGGUGCCGUAUCGGUACGGGGAAAGAGGUCCCGAUACGGAGGAUCAGCCUGAACAGGUGGCCUCAACUUCCCAGGAGAGCUACCUUAUAAACCUGAGCGAUGAUAAAGUGACCAUCAACAGUGUGGACACUACCUCAAGGACCAGCCCUCCUCAGAGAGAGCUUCACCUCGAGGCACUCCCCGCCAAGCGCGCGAAGGAAUCGCCAUCGACCAUUGGCCGUUCUGUGAAGAAAACGGCUAGAACGGAUCCCAGUUCCACUGGAGCGCCUGUUAGUGUUGAGCCUGUUAGUGUGGAGCCUGGUAUUAUUGAUACUUCCGAAGUGUCAGUAUUCACUUUUAAGGGCCAGGAGUACGUACAAAUGUCUAUGGAGCAUUACUUGAAGGAGCAAAGGAUGAUGGCCGAACUACUUACAAACUACAAGAACGCUUUAAGGGCUAUCAAGGAACACGUCUCCGAGCUGGACCUUUGACGUAAUCAAUAUAAAUAUGAAACGGCCAACCAUAUAAACUUGAGGUUCGACAUAAUAUUUGUACAUUACAACGUUUAAUAAACAUACGGAAAUGAUGACCAAAACAGGCACAUUUCGGUUUACUGAUUGAAAACGGUGAAAAUUCACAGAGAUCUAAAAAGCAGUGUCUUUCACGAAAACUUAAGUAGAUCAACAUUUUGGAAAUCACUAAAGUAUUUCAGUAGCCCCUCAAGCCGGCACAUAUUCCACCUCGCUGUCCACAUCGAUUUCAUCGCUAAGAUCGUCAUCCUGGUCCUGCAGUUCCUCGGGCACGCCCGACAGGAGACGUUUGCGCUGCAGUAGGGCUGCCCAACCGAGGCGGGUCUCGCAAAGCGGGCACUCUCCUCCAACUGGGAUAUAGUGACCAGGCUCAUCGCCUAGGAGAUAAUUGGCCAAGCACAGCAUGUGGCAGGUGAGCCGACAGGUCGGAUUUGUACAUCCAAGCCGGGAUCUUUCCGGCUGCUCGAUUCGCUGUAUACAUAGGUGACACUCGGGAGCCCAAGCCACAGGUGGAGGAGCCUCAGCGUCAUCAGCUCUCUUACGUUGUGAGACACUAAUGGAAACCUUACCACUUACAAUCUCCAUUUGGCUAGGGAGUGGCACAUCAAAGGCCCUCUCAUAAUCCGUUUCUAGCCAGCGAACGGUGAGGGGCAAUCGAUGCCAAGGGCCGACUCCCAGCAUCUUACUGAGGAUCCUGAAGUUGUAGUCAAAGUAGUUCUCCCUGGGUAAUUUCCGUUUUAGCUCUGGGUACAUUUUGAGUCUAGUAGAAAGCGAGGGCUGUUGCCAAGCCCACUCAAACUGUAGUGCCACAAUAUUAUUCGGGAAUCCGUGAACGAUCAUUACCAUUUGCCAGGGCCCCUUGCGGCUGGUUUUUCUCGCGCCUCCAAAGUCGCACCCCAGAUUAUGCUGGCGUAUCCGGCGUUUUGGGUUCACGGUGAAGCCCACAUAGCACUUUCCUCUAUAUCGAGAAUCCAAACUCUGACUGCAAAGCAAAUAGACGCCGUAGAAGUGACCUUUGCGGGCGACGAUUUCCUCCUGCUCACUAACUGCUUCCUGGGUGGCUGUGAAUUUAUGAAUAAAUGGAUUAAUGAGUUAUCUUUAAAUCUGAAACUGAGAAAAACCAAUCAAUAGGAGGCGACAGCUUAGCCGAACCGACAGGGUGUGGUUUUUUUAAGUCAAACUCUAAUAUUGUUCUUACUUGUUGCCAAAAUAGAUAGAGGAAUAUUAGAAUUAUAGUAAAUCAUAGCCUCUAAAGAGCUUCUCCUUUCUGCUAUAAGUACUAAGAACCAAAUGUAACUUAGUAUUUGGAAUAAAAAGUAUAUGAAUUUA
Drosophila subpulchrella is the source of this 2124-nucleotide RNA transcript. RefSeq lists it as uncharacterized. The transcript has 3 exons. The record is from RefSeq and is a predicted model, not a curated record. NCBI's taxonomy places the organism in Eukaryota, Metazoa, Arthropoda, Insecta, Diptera, Drosophilidae.